Molecule: long non-coding RNA, 445 nt
Organism: Tyto alba (common barn owl)
Lineage: Eukaryota; Metazoa; Chordata; Aves; Strigiformes; Tytonidae
Exons: 3
Source: RefSeq, a predicted model, not a curated record
GGAACAAAUCGAUGGAUCGGGGCGGCGAGCGCGGAGCAGGAGGCGCAGCCCCGGGGCCGCCCGGGUGAGAGCCCUCCCGCAAGAGCGAGCCCGGAGCCCGGCGGCGCGGGAGGCGGGGGGGGGACCUGCACCACAAAGAUGAGUUUGGAAGAGCGAAUGCGCCGCGGACAACCUGGAUGAGCGGGGAGAGAGGCUGGGGCUCCCCUCCCCCCCACCCCGGGGCGGAGGCCCCUCACCGUGGCGUCGGGCCCAGGCCGGGGGCGGCCCCGGGGCUCGGCUCCGUGCUCGGCCGGGGGUAUCCCGGGGCCGGGGGGGAGCCCCUUUUGGCUGAGGCGGAGUAAACCCGCUUAAUGAUGGUACAGACACGAUCUCGCCGCCUCUCCCCCACUCCAUCGGAAGAGCAUAAAGGCCAAUAAAUUACCUCCGCUGCUUAUCUGAAAAUCCA